Molecule: long non-coding RNA, 3893 nt
Organism: Brassica rapa (field mustard)
Lineage: Eukaryota; Viridiplantae; Streptophyta; Magnoliopsida; Brassicales; Brassicaceae
Source: RefSeq, a predicted model, not a curated record
UUAUUUUGAGAUUUUUUUGCAAAUAUCCAACUACAAACUAUAAUUAUUAAAGGAUUUUCUUUAUUGAAAAUCUCUUUAGUUAAUUAAAUAAUAUUUAUUAUUUUCAAUUUAUCAUAUAAUCAAAUAUAUGGCAUACCCAAUUAUUACCUUUACUAUUUAUUUUGAGUUUUUCCUUUUGCAAAUAUCCAACUACUAACUAUAAUUAUUAGAGGAUAUUCUUUAUAGAAAACCUCUUUAGUUUGUUUUUUUUGGCAUUACUUAAUUAAAUAGUCUCAAGUGAUAAUUGUUAGAUUAUAUUCAUAUGAUCAUAUCCUUUACGAUAUCAUUUAAAUUCAAAAGAGUUUUGACAACACACUAUUAUAUGCAUAUUUUUCAUUAUAAUUAGUUUCAGUGUGGGUGAGUUUUAUUUAAAUAAUGCUAAGCUAUUUUGUCAAAAUCAUGUUUUUUUAUUUGAAAAUACGUUUACCAAUACAUUUAGUCAUUUCUUAACAACUGAUGAUUUAUUCGAUAUCACAUAUUUUUUGUUAAACAGAUGUCAGAUUAUUUAAUAAAAUAGCACGCGUUGGCAGAAGUACGAAAACUACUUUGGUCAAGCCAAACUAUAAUUAUUAGAGGAUUUUCUUUAUAGGAAACCUCUUUUGUUAAGUAAAUAAUAUUUAUUAUUUUUAGUUAAUUAAAUAGUCUCAAGCGAUAAUUGUUAGAUUAUAUUCAUAUGAUCAUAUCCUUUAAGAUAUCAUGUAAAUUAUACAAGAGUUUUGACAACAUGCUAUUUACACAUCUUUCAUUAAUUAGUUUCAGUUUAUGCAAGUUUUAUUUAAAUAAUUCUAAGUUAUUUUGUCAAUAUCAUUUUUCUUUUGUAUUUGAAGAUACAAUUACAAAUACAUUUAGUCAUUUCUUAACAACUGAUGAUUUAUUCGGUAUCACAUAUUUUUUGUUAUAAAAAAUGUCAUAUUAUUUAAUAAAAAAGCACACAUUGGAAAAAGGACGAAAACUAUUUUGGUCAACCCACACAAAUAAAUUUACCAUUUUUCACCAACAUCAUUUACCUAAUUAUAGCGAGAACCAAAUAAAGGUAUAAUAUAUUACUCAAUUAGCAUAAUAUAGGGAUGAUUAUAUGACUUAUAUACACUUUUAUUACGAAAACUAUUGUGAACAACACAAAAAAUACAUCACCACAUGAUCACACAUUUGGACAAAAGUAAUGUAUUAAAAACUACAUGAAUUAUAUGAAUAACAUGAAAACAUCCAUAAACUAAGAUGUGUUAUGUUAUUAACACCAUAAGUAUAAUUUUAAUAUCGUAAAAUAUAUCAGAUUUGAAAUUUGGUAUCACUGAAUAAAAAUUUAUUUGAUAAAUGGAUCAUACAAAUAAACACACAUAGAUAAAGUAUUCAAAAUGCAAGGCUGCAUCAAAGAACAUGGGAUAACAUAUUAAAAAAUGUAAAAAAAAAUGUUAACCAACAUUAAAAGUUGUCGAAUUACAAGUUAGCACUUUUGUAGCUAUCAAAAUAAUGUUGAUGGUGUUAUGAUCAUAACACAUAAUAGUUCAUGGAUAUUUUCAUGUGAUUCAUAUAUUUCAGGUGCUUAAUAUUUAUUUUUUCAGAUGUGUGAUCAUAUGAUGUUGUAUUAUUCUUACAGUUAGUAAUCAUUUUCUUAAAAUAUGACCUACGUAGUAGUUAUCAUAAUACUGUCACAAUGAUGUCACUCAAAAUUUAAAGCUACAUAAUGUUUUUUUUUUGAAAAUUAAAUUAAACAUUAUUUUUAGUAAAAAAAGAGCUGCUGUUAAUACAGAAUCUCAAUCUGAGAUUUUGAUUCAACUACUUGAAAUAUGUUUCUUAUUGCUAUUGGAAUUAUUAUGCAUAUCCAUGAGAAUUAAUUCUUCAUGAAUCUACUUCUGAUUGUCGGAUUUGCACAUUCAAAUUUUUUGGUUCUAGUUGAUAUUAUUUCUUUCUUUGUAAUAUUUUUCUAAAUGGAAGAAAUUAACAUUUUUCAAAUUUUCUCCUAUUCAUUAAUUAGUUGUUAUACAUAUAUUCCAACGUAAUCAAUACAAUACUAAAAGGAAGAUAUAAUCCAUCGAGAAGGUGUCCACGUCAGCUCAAAUAAUCAACCAAUUAGAAAACAGCUAUGUUAAUGAAUAAUUCCACGUCACCGAAGCACUUCUCUUUCGCGUUCUCACCGUCUUACCGACGACGAAAGAAACCGACCUAAUUUGUCGUUACAGUUCAAUCGUAAAUUCUGCAUUCAAUUAUUAUUAAACAAAUAAGAAACUCUUCAAAUUCAUCCUGCAUUCCACAUCACUAUAUUAAUCGAUGGCGAGUUCUAGAUUUGAAGAUUCUAAUUACGCGAAGAAGCUGUUUCGUCUCUCCUCUUUGUUCUACGGCGCAAGGAGACGCCUGAGCUUUUUCCUGACCAGAGUCGACAAUGAUUCAAGAGCUUUUGUAAACUGGGAAAACACUGAAAUAUUUCGAUAAAAAGAGUUGACCUUCCACCCCAAAAUACCAUGGAGUCUCUCUAAAUUACACAGAGGUGGCAUCCAGCUCUCGGAUUAUAGAAUGGGCGCUUUGAUCGAUACAGUUGACAAUCACGAAGGCCCUGUUUGUUCUCACUCCAUAGCCUUUCUUCUUCUGAAGAGUGAUCUGUAGAAAGUAAUGAAGAGGAAGGUGGUGCUUACAAUCCACUGAAGCUGCCAAUGGGUUAGGACGGGAAGCCAAUACCAUACUGGCUCUACAAGCUUCAUGGACUUGGCCAGAAGUUGAAUGCGAGAUACGUGGAAACAGUGUCUACAUGGGUAGAAGGGCUUUUGAGAGACAUUUCAAAAAGAGUUUCACAACCAAAUGGAUGCCAGAACUUGAAGAAGACUUACUCUGAUCUCCAACGUCAACGUUGCGUUCCACCUUUUCCCAACGAACGGAGCCAUUGCAAGACCUUGACAAAGAGUGGCACAUCUCAUUAACUCAACUUCGUAAUUGAUAGACGUGGGACCUCAAAAGCUUAAGGAGGCGCUGGGGGCACUGGGGCUGAAAGUUGGUGGUACUUUGCAGCAACAUGCCGAGAGACUUUUCCUUACAAAGGACUACAACUGUUCGUCUCAGUGCUUUCGAUGUUCAGGCCAGCCAACUUCACCAGAACUUAUUUAGGGUACGUGUUGAGCUUACGGUCAUUGUUUCCACCAGAAUUAGUCCCAAGUUUGUUGGAGGUCGCCUAUUCAUGAUGAUUCAAGUUUAUAUAUUUUGGAACUUGCAAAUAAAGAGAUGUUGACUUGACCAACCGCUGGUUUGGGCGAGUCUGGAGCUAGCUGCUCCACAAGUUCUACUAAAUAUGGUGGUGUAAAGAAAAUUGCAUCUGUUACGGUGUCCGAGCUAAAUGCAUACGCUCUCAAUGCUUCUAGCAGUGUGACAUAUUGUAAUGCGUGUUGACAGGGCGGAAAUAACCACCCCAGUGGUAAUUCUAUGCCUGGCGCAGUGGCGCUAUAUGUGUGUCCUGCAUCUGCUCAGAUGGUCAGAAGUUAAAAGAAACUGACAUAGCUAUAGGCAGUGGUGAAAUCCCUGUGAACCCAACUCCUCUGCUGAAUGAAACCACAACAGCUGCUCAAACAACUCUGAUGAAAGCUUAGCUGCAUAAGUUACCCAUAUAUAGUUUCCUGCAUUUUCUGAAACGUCAUUUGCAUUGUCUUUUUCAAAACAUCGUUUGGUUUCAUGUUUCCAACUUAUUUAUCAAUAAAAGCAUAUUUUAAUAUUGGACCGGAUACACAUCAAUUUCUUAUAGUUCAUUGAUGUGAAUAGAUCACUAACCAUUUGUUUUCUUUUUACCUGACGAAGUACAUAUUUACUGUGUAGGUCAGAAUUACCUUUGACAAUUUGUACGAAAAUUUGAAUGAAAAUUAUUUUUAACAUGA